UUUGUCAUUUCUUUUAAAUUGUUGGCCAGA
Molecule: non-coding RNA, 30 nt
Filed under: Rattus norvegicus (Norway rat)
Lineage: Eukaryota; Metazoa; Chordata; Mammalia; Rodentia; Muridae
Source: RNAcentral